GGAGGGCCUGGGGGACCAGCUGGACCAGGUCGGCCAAUUGAUCCGGGAGUUAGAGGCUUCCUUAAGCAGCCAAAGGGGAUUCAAGCUCAAAUCUUCAAGUGCUAUGAAGAAUCUUUAUGUAUCUAAUUCCUUAGCCUUGAAAAAGUAAUUAAUAAUUAUAGGGUGUGGGCCCAAGAUCUUGAAAAUUCAUUGAGUUGUGAUGAGGCUACAGCAAGUGCAUGAAGAUCUCUUUCUUUUGAAUUCUCAUCUACAAAUUCCAAAUUUCCUGUUUGAAGUUCCAGUUGGACUUGGAUUGCUUCUACUGCUAUUGGAUUUUAAAGAUGAAUUUAAUCAAACGUACCAGUUCUCCUUUGUCCCCAGGAAGACCAUCAGCUCCAGCAAUACCCUGAAAAUGACAUACCUCAAUAUUAACAGACCAAACUAUGUGGAAGGAUGGUCAUCACUCUCAUCCCAACUCUCUGAUGUUAAGGAAUUGAAUGGUUUUCGUGAAACAAAUUUAAUACAAACUAAGGUCAAUAACAACUCAGUCUCCGUAAUGCAUGAACAUAGAUUAUUUGACAAUACAUAUCCUCUAUCAUGAUCCCAUUUUACCAGGCCAUUUUCUAGCUAAAUUAGUUGGCGACCAGUUAGCUUAGACUUAUAUUGUUUCAGAUUUGGUAUAAUCUGAGUUACAGCCAGUACAUCUAUUAUUGCUAUCGCCACCUAACUAGUUGGGAGUGAGGUAGGAUUUCAAAUCCAAAUCUCCUAAUCUUUUGCAUAUACGAAGGUGAAGGAUCUGAGUUUUGGUCAGGUAGUCUGAAGGCAGGAUUGGCAAAUUGCAGCUAAGGACCUGGAGAGACAAGCACAAAACUUUCCCACAAAGGAAUGAAGGGAGAAAAAGCUCUAUGCAUUCAAAGCAACUCGGUUCUUCCCUCCCUGUGUCUACUGUAUUCUCCCAAUCUGUCCUUUAGAGCUAAGUGGAGAUGACCUAGAAAUCUCUAAUCACAAUGGAAGUGUUAAACUUAAAAAAACCAAACCAAACCACUUCUACCUCUGCCCCCACAUCAAUGGCUGUGUGUAUCAUUGUGGAUUUUUUUUCUGGGAAUGGUUUGGACUAGCUGACCACUGAGGUCAUUCCCAACUCUGAAAUUCUGUGGUUCUGUGAACAUUUAUUUUAAUUUACCAAAAUGAAAAUCAAAUCUCUAGCUUAAGAGAUAAGGAUCCUUAAUAAUUCUCCAUCAGUCACAACCUUCCUCUUUCCUUGCCCUCUCUCCCAAAUCAUCAUUUUGGACACUGAACAUUCAGUUCUAUUUGUCAGCUAUACCUUGUAAAUUGGAAUACAACCUAAUUGGCUGUCUUACCAAUUCUUUAUUGGUCAUUCUAGAAAUAAAGAAGGCCCCUUUUUCAGUGAGCAGUAAGCCCAAAGAUGGAGCCAGAAAGUGGACCGCAGGAAGAGAGGGAAAAAGAAAGCCCACCAAGCACACAAGUUGAUAAAAAUGUCCACAGUCAUUCAUUAUCUGUCCUUAUAAAAUGUCUCUCCUAUUCAACUAAACUAAUUGCCCAAAAUCGAGUCUGAAUUAAGUCAUGGAUUUUGUUAAGAAAGAGCCAAUACAUUCUAAUUCUCAUGAAAAUUUUCCUCAAACUUAGGAAACUCAGUUACAUGAACUACAAAAAGGAAUGGCAAAGUGUUUUGGGAGAGUAGUCAUCUAGGAAAACCAGUCCAGUGAUUAUACUGAGUAAGGAUGAGGCAUGGUUUGCUGCAAUGGUCUCAAUUCCAUAUGGGUUGUAUUAUAGAAUUAUUGGAAUGUUAUAGGUUUGCUCAGUAGUUAAAACCUGGAGAUGAUGAAGCCAGAGCUGUAGUUUAAAUUUGCAUAAGGGAACGGCUAAAUCAGUCUUUCUCCCCUGCUGGAGGAUCACUAUCCUAGAGGAUCACUAUCCUGUCAACAAUGGUUCAUCAUCUUUGCCUACAAAGGACAGCUCCUUUAUUAGGUGAAUGAAAGUUUCCUCUUCAUACCAUGAGAGGGCGUCUGCCACUAAGUUGCAACUAUAGAAACCCUAAGUACAUAGUACCUAGCUUGCAUCAUCAUCAAUUACGAUAUUAUUCUAUUAUAUGAGAUUGCAGCAACUGAUGUCAAUAUGGCUAUUUCCACUGAAGCUGAAGCGUGAAGUCCC
Non-coding RNA from Phascolarctos cinereus (koala), 2151 nucleotides. The record is from RefSeq and is a predicted model, not a curated record. NCBI's taxonomy places the organism in Eukaryota, Metazoa, Chordata, Mammalia, Diprotodontia, Phascolarctidae.